GGAUCGUGAGGACGGAAAGACUUCCGUCGCCGGUGUGGAAAUCCAGGAGCUUGUCGACCUGGCACGGUUC
RNAcentral lists this non-coding RNA (70 nucleotides) under unclassified sequences. RNAcentral's name for it is "skipping-rope RNA". It matches the Rfam family "skipping-rope RNA". Rfam says of the family: Firmicutes, Fusobacteria, AlphaProteobacteria, Spirochaetes. The record is from Rfam by way of RNAcentral.